GAGUGCCAGUUACCUUCAGUUUCUGGAGCUGGCCGUCAACAUGUCCUUUCCUAAGGCGCCCCUGAAACGAUUCAAUGACCCUUCUGGUUGUGCACCAUCUCCAGGUGCUUAUGAUGUUAAAACUUUAGAAGUAUUGAAAGGACCAGUAUCCUUUCAGAAAUCACAAAGAUUUAAACAACAAAAAGAAUCUAAACAAAAUCUUAAUGUCGACAAAGAUACUACCUUGCCUGCUUCAGCUAGAAAAGUUAAGUCUUCGGAAUCAAAGGUGAGGAGCUUUUAUAUGCCAGCUGGUUUAUCAACUGUAUCAUCAAAAACAUCUGAAAGUAUUGUAUUUGAGUAGAAUGGGUUAAGUGUAUGAAUCAAGGUUAUAAGUAAAUCUGUAAACUAAUGAAAUGAGUUAUCAUUAGAACUCUAGCAAGUUUUACAUUUCUGCCUAGGUCAUUAUGUUUAAAUGUGCCCUUAGUUCCCAAUUAUAAUGGUCUUCAAUUCUCAAUCACUUCUGUGUUUAAAUUGUUUAUUACCUAGUAAACAUUUCAAAAUUAUGGAUGCUUUGAUUUAUUAAGUACCACCAUUUGAGUUGUUUUGUUUUUGUGUAUUUGUUUCUGGGGAAGGGUAAGUGUUUUUGAAGAAAAGGGGGAAAAAAUGCCAAUAUCUAAGAGAGGUUUGCUAC
RNAcentral lists this small RNA (670 nucleotides) under Pongo abelii (Sumatran orangutan). Its description in RNAcentral is "retained intron". The record is from RNAcentral. Lineage: Eukaryota; Metazoa; Chordata; Mammalia; Primates; Hominidae.